UUGUAUUACUCUCUUGACAUCGGUGCUUGAAGUUAACGUCCGUAGAUCCUGCUGCUUUCGCAACAUUGAUUAAUUCAACUGGCAGGCAAAAUUUCACAUAUAGGCCACUAGUAGGGGCUGUAACUCCGACAGAGCAACUUGGUAAAUCGGCCCUAGCCCCAUCUUGCACCAUGGAAAGUCGGCAUGUGCUUCUGUUCGCAAAAUGGUGGUAACUCAUCUCGUAUUUCAUCAGAGAUCCGAAAUGCUGAACGAGAAACUGGGGAGCAGCAAGAAGAAGUUAAUCCCCAACAGGACGCAAAUGAAAAACCCCAGCGG
This 315-nucleotide long non-coding RNA is filed under the name Elaeis guineensis (African oil palm). RNAcentral's name for it is "long non-coding RNA (EGUI_LNC015693)". Lineage: Eukaryota; Viridiplantae; Streptophyta; Magnoliopsida; Arecales; Arecaceae. The record is from RNAcentral.